Molecule: long non-coding RNA, 377 nt
Organism: Achroia grisella
Lineage: Eukaryota; Metazoa; Arthropoda; Insecta; Lepidoptera; Pyralidae
Exons: 2
Source: RefSeq, a predicted model, not a curated record
UCUGAGUUUCGUUGGGCACAACCGAAGUUGUGACCAACAAAAGUUUGUGCCUUGCGAUUUUUCUUGAUUAUUGAGUUAUUUUGAGCCAAAAACAUUAUAGAAAGUGUGUCGAUAUAUGUGAUUUAUAUAAUAUUUAUCGAGAAACAUGGUGAUAUGUUAUAUCUUGGGCUGUAAAAGCCGUAGUGAGCGAAAAUGUGAAAACAUAACCUUUCAUACAUUUCCAAAAGAUUCUACGAUCCGGCAAAUAUGGAUACGUGCAACAAGACGAGAUAACUGGAUUCUAAGUAAAUAUGCAAGAAUAUGCUCCAAACACUUUGAACGAAAUUGUUUUAGGAAAACUUCUCGCAACGUUUAUUUGAAAGCGUACUCGGUUCCAA